CCUACGGGUGGCAGCAGUGAGGAAUAUUGGUCAAUGGACGAGAGUCUGAACCAGCCAAGUAGCGUGAAGGAUGACUGCCCUAUGUGUUGUAAACUUCUUUUAUAUGGGAAUAAAAUGUUCCACGUGUGGGCUUUUGUAUGUACCAUAUGAAUAAGGAUCGGCUAACUCCGUGCCAGCAGCCGCGGUAAUACGGAGGAUCCGAGCGUUAUCCGGAUUUAUUGGGUUUAAAGGGAGCGUAGGUGGAUUGUUAAGUCAGUUGUUAAAGUUUGCGGCUCAACCGUAAAAUUGCAGUUGAAACUGGCAGUCUUGAGUACAGUAGAGGUGGGCGGAAUUCGUGGUGUAGCGGUGAAAUGCUUAGAUAUCGCGAAGAACUCCGAUUGCGAAGGCAGCAUACCGGCGCCCGACUGACGCUGAGGCACGAAAGCGUGGGGAUCGAACAGGAUUAGAUACCCCAGUAGUC
This 460-nucleotide ribosomal RNA is filed under the name uncultured bacterium. Its description in RNAcentral is "partial 16S ribosomal RNA". It matches the Rfam family "Bacterial small subunit ribosomal RNA", at positions 338 to 795 of the family's 1533-position model. The record is from RNAcentral.